This 466-nucleotide ribosomal RNA is filed under the name uncultured bacterium. RNAcentral describes it as "partial 16S ribosomal RNA". It matches the Rfam family "Bacterial small subunit ribosomal RNA", at positions 28 to 507 of the family's 1533-position model. The record is from RNAcentral.
GACGAACGCUGGCGGCGUGCUUAACACAUGCAAGUCGAACGGAAAGGCCCUGCUUGCAGGGUACUCGAGUGGCGAACGGGUGAGUAACACGUGGGUGAUCUGCCCUGCACUUCGGGAUAAGCCUGGGAAACUGGGUCUAAUACCGGAUAGGAGCCAUUUUUAGUGUGAUGGUUGGAAAGUUUUUUUCGGUGUAGGAUGAGCUCGCGGCCUAUCAGCUUGUUGGUGGGGUAAUGGCCUACCAAGGCGGCGACGGGUAGCCGGCCUGUGAGGGUGGACGGCCCCAUUGGGACUGAGAGACGGCCCAGACUCCUACGGGAGGCAGCAGUGGGGAAUAUUGCACAAUGGGCGCAAGCCUGAUGCAGCGACGCCGCGUGGGGGAUGACGGCCUUCGGGUUGUAAACUCCUUUCGCUAGGGACGAAGCUUUUUGUGACGGUACCUAGAUAAGAAGCACCGGCUAACUACGUG